RNAcentral lists this ribosomal RNA (253 nucleotides) under uncultured bacterium. RNAcentral's name for it is "partial 16S ribosomal RNA". It matches the Rfam family "Bacterial small subunit ribosomal RNA", at positions 524 to 776 of the family's 1533-position model. The record is from RNAcentral.
UACGUAGGGUGCAAGCGUUAAUCGGAAUUACUGGGCGUAAAGCGUGCGCAGGCGGUGAUGUAAGACAGUUGUGAAAUCCCCAGGCUCAACUUGGGAACUGCAUCCGAUACUGGAUGGCUUGAAUUCGGGAGAGGGAUGCAGAAUUCCAGGUGUAGCGGUGAAAUGCGUAGAUAUCUGGAGGAACACCGGUGGCGAAGGCGGCAUCCUGGACCGGUAUUGACGCUGAGGCGCGAAAGCCAGGGGAGCAAACGGG